GGUCGUAACCAAGGUCUCCGUAGGUGAACCUGCGGAGGGAUCAUUAUACAAUAACCAGGCGGGCUGGACACCCCCCGCUGGGCACUGCUUCACGGCGUGCGCGGCGGGGCCGGCCCUGCUGAAUUAUUCACCCGUGUCUUUUGCGUACUUCUUGUUUCCUGGGUGGGCUCGCCCGCCCUCAGGACCAACCACAAACCUUUUGCAAUAGCAAUCAGCGUCAGUAACAACGUAAUUAAUUACAACUUUCAACAACGGAUCUCUUGGUUCUGGCAUCGAUGAAGAACGCAGCGAAAUGCGAUACGUAGUGUGAAUUGCAGAAUUCAGUGAAUCAUCGAAUCUUUGAACGCACAUUGCGCCCUUUGGUAUUCCAAAGGGCAUGCCUGUUCGAGCGUCAUUUGUACCCUCAAGCUUUGCUUGGUGUUGGGCGUCUUUUGUCUCCAGUUCGCUGGAGACUCGCCUUAAAGUCAUUGGCAGCCGGCCUACUGGUUUCGGAGCGCAGCACAAGUCGCGCUCUUUGCCAGCCAAGGUCAGCGUCCAGCAAGCCUUUUUUUCAACCNNUGACCUCGGAUCAGGUAGGGAUACCCG
Molecule: ribosomal RNA, 585 nt
Filed under: uncultured fungus
Lineage: Eukaryota; Fungi
Description: eukaryotic LSU rRNA
Rfam family: 5.8S ribosomal RNA (bases 241-394)
Source: RNAcentral